Molecule: non-coding RNA, 353 nt
Filed under: Staphylococcus aureus
Lineage: Bacteria; Bacillati; Bacillota; Bacilli; Caryophanales; Staphylococcaceae
Rfam family: S. aureus tsr24 small RNA
Source: RNAcentral
AAAUUAUACGAAGGGACCCAACACAGAAAAUUCAUUUUAUUGAAUUUUACAUUUAUGUGCAAGUUGGGAAAAAUGUCUUAUUUUUUCAAAGUAUUUAAAAGUAAAAUUACAUGUUAAUACGUAGUAUUAAUGGCGAGACUCCUGAGGGAGCAGUGCCAGUCGAAGACAGGGGCCCCAACACAGAAGCUGACAUAUAGUCAGCUUACAACAAUGUGCCGGUUGGGGUGGCUGAGACGGCACCCUAGGAAGGGACCCAUCAUCAAAAAUUCUAUUUAUAGAAUUUUACAGUAAUGUGCCAGAUGGGCAUAGCGAAGCCAUUCAAUACGAAGUAUUGUAUAAAUAGAGAACAGCAG